This 89-nucleotide transfer RNA is filed under the name Planctomycetaceae bacterium. Its description in RNAcentral is "tRNA-Ser". It matches the Rfam family "tRNA". Rfam says of the family: Transfer RNA (tRNA) molecules are approximately 80 nucleotides in length. Their secondary structure includes four short double-helical elements and three loops (D, anti-codon, and T loops). The record is from RNAcentral. Lineage: Bacteria; Pseudomonadati; Planctomycetota; Planctomycetia; Planctomycetales; Planctomycetaceae.
GGAGAGGUGACAGAGUGGUCGAUUGUGCAGCACUGGAAAUGCUGUGUGGAUGUCAAAGUCCACCGGGGGUUCGAAUCCCCCCCUCUCCG